UCCGGCUUAACGCCGGCAGUCUACCUAGAGUGCCCAACUUAAUGGUGGCAACUAAGUACGAGGGUUGCGCUCGUUGUGGGACUUAACCCAACACCUCACGACACGAGCUGACGACAGCCAUGCACCACCUGUGCACAGGCCCCGAAAGGCUGCCGCAUCUCUGCGACAUUCCUGUGUAUGUCAAGCCCUGGUAAGGUUCUGCGCGUUGCGUCGAAUUAAACCACACGCUCCGCUGCUUGUGCGGGCCCCCGUCAAUUCCUUUGAGUUUUAACCUUGCGGCCGUACUCCCCAGGCGGAUGACUUAAUGCGUUAGCUGCGCCACCGAAAGCCUAAGGCCCCCGACAGCUAGUCAUCAUCGUUUACGGCGUGGACUAC
RNAcentral lists this unclassified non-coding RNA (375 nucleotides) under uncultured bacterium. RNAcentral's name for it is "contains 16S-23S intergenic spacer region". The record is from RNAcentral.